GAUGAACGCUGGCGGCGUGCCUAAUACAUGCAAGUCGAACGCGCAGCGAGAGGUGCUUGCACCUUUCAAGCGAGUGGCGAACGGGUGAGUAACACGUGGAUAACCUGCCUCAAGGCUGGGGAUAACAUUUGGAAACAGAUGCUAAUACCGAAUAAAACUUAGUAUCGCAUGAUACAAAGUUAAAAGGCGCUACGGCGUCACCUAGAGAUGGAUCCGCGGUGCAUUAGUUAGUUGGUGGGGUAAAGGCUUACCAAGACAAUGAUGCAUAGCCGAGUUGAGAGACUGAUCGGCCACAUUGGGACUGAGACACGGCCCAAACUCCUACGGGAGGCUGCAGUAGGGAAUCUUCCACAAUGGGCGCAAGCCUGAUGGAGCAACGCCGCGUGUGUGAUGAAGGCUUUCGGGUCGUAAAGCACUGUUGUAUGGGAAGAAAUGCUAAAAUAGGGAAUGAUUUUAGUUUGACGGUACCAUACCAGAAAGGGACGGCUAAAUACGUGCCAGCAGCCGCGGUAAUAC
Molecule: ribosomal RNA, 516 nt
Filed under: uncultured bacterium
Lineage: Bacteria
Description: bacterial SSU rRNA
Rfam family: Bacterial small subunit ribosomal RNA
Source: RNAcentral